UUUUCACCAGGAAGGAGCGCGGCAUGUUCCCCUCCCGGGCGGCAGGCUCAUUAGCAUAGCGCGCCGCCUCCGCCAACCAGCGCCCGGCGCGAGUGGGGCGGGGCCACGGGGGCGGAACUGAGGGCGAGGCGGGGUCUCGGGCAACACGCCCAGGACAGGUGCGCGGGCGGGACGGGGCGGGGAGCGCGUGGCCGCCGGUGUCCUCCCCACGGGAAUUCUCUGGCGUGCGCGCCGCCGAGUCACACACCGACCCGUCGGGCCUGGCCACCCACUCGCCGUGAGUGAAGGGCAGAGUUCAAAGCUGUGUGGAAACCGAGCGAGAAUCUCUUCCACAGAAUGUGGAAGCGUCGGCCGAGCGCGGUCCUUGGAGAACCCUUGCUGCGGAGAAUGACGCUCACUCUGCGGCCUGGCCUCGCCUCCCCAUCCCUUCUGCAAACUCACAGGACAGGAUUGAUGGGGAGAGCCCAGGCGAAACGAAGCUGACCCUAGUGACCAGCCCUACUGGCGGCUCUGGAACAGGCCCGGGACCGGUGGCCUGGAGACAGUGGUCCUUUCUGGAUGGGCUGCAGUCUCCGAAGGCUUCCCCCACUGGAGUCAGCCCUUUAGGAGUUUGUCCAGUGCCUCCAGAAAGCUGUUUUUUGGGGGACGGAGGACUUGGCCUGGAAUUCUGGAAUUCCCAGGGGGUCAGACAUGGUUAUGGGAAGUUUAAUAAAACCGGUGAAUCACGUGA
Molecule: long non-coding RNA, 730 nt
Filed under: Homo sapiens (human)
Lineage: Eukaryota; Metazoa; Chordata; Mammalia; Primates; Hominidae
Description: HSALNT0387777
Source: RNAcentral